GAUGAACGCUGGCGGCGUGCCUAAUACAUGCAAGUAGAACGCUGAAGGAGGAGCUUGCUCUUCUGGAUGAGUUGCGAACGGGUGAGUAACGCGUAGGUAACCUGCCUGGUAGCGGGGGAUAACUAUUGGAAACGAUAGCUAAUACCGCAUGACAACAGUUAUUGCAUGAUAACUGUUUAAAAGGGGCAACUGCUCCACUACCAGAUGGACCUGCGUUGUAUUAGCUAGUUGGUGAGGUAACGGCUCACCAAGGCGACGAUACAUAGCCGACCUGAGAGGGUGAUCGGCCACACUGGGACUGAGACACGGCCCAGACUCCUACGGGAGGCAGCAGUAGGGAAUCUUCGGCAAUGGACGGAAGUCUGACCGAGCAACGCCGCGUGAGUAAAGAAGGUUUUCGGAUCGUAAAGCUCUGUUGUAAGAGAAGAACGAGUGUGAGAGUGGAAAGUUCACACUGUGACGGUAUCUUACCAGAAAGGGACGGCUAACUACGUG
Molecule: ribosomal RNA, 495 nt
Filed under: uncultured bacterium
Lineage: Bacteria
Description: partial 16S ribosomal RNA
Rfam family: Bacterial small subunit ribosomal RNA
Source: RNAcentral